CAUAGCGACUAUCGUGGCAUAUCAAUAAGCGGAGGAAAAGAAACUAACAAGGAUUCCCCUAGUAACGGCGAGUGAAGCGGGAAGAGCUCAAAUUUGAAAUCUUAAAGGUAUUCCCUUGACGAAUUGUAGUUUAAAGAAGUGUUUUCUGUUGGAGUUUCGGUAAAAGUUCUUUGGAAUAGGACAUCAUAGAGGGUGAGAAUCCCGUAUUUGACCAUUAUUUCCAGCUGUGUGAUACACUUUCAAAGAGUCGGAUUGUUUGGGAAUGCAGUCCAAAAUGGGUGGUAAAUUUCAUCUAAAGUUAAAUAUUGGCGAGAGACCGAUAGCGAACAAGUACCGUGAGGGAAAGAUGAAAAGAACUUUGAAAAGAGAGUUAAACAGUACGUGAAAUUGUCAAAAGGGAAGCGUUUGACACCAGUGUUGUUUAGUUGAAAAUCAAUUUAAUAAUUUUUGAUUUUAAGUAGUAUUGACUUCAUCAGCUUGCUGCUUUUUUCUCGAAAAUUAUUGAAUGCACUUUUCAGUUAACAAGUCAACAUCAAUUUCUUUUGUUGUAAAAGGGUAAGAGGAAGGUGGCUUGCGCUUCGGCUCAAGUGUUUAUAGCCUUUUACCUCUGCAAUCGGAGAGAUUGAGGUCUGCAGCGUAGACUCUUCGGGGUUAGAUACAUUUAUGCUAAGCUAUAGCCUUGUAUAGACAACUUGUUGACUAUGCUCAGUCAUGUAGCUUACUCGUAGAUGCUAUUUUACCUACGCUUAGGAUGUUGACGAGACUGUCGAUCUC
Molecule: ribosomal RNA, 774 nt
Filed under: uncultured Neocallimastigales
Lineage: Eukaryota; Fungi; Neocallimastigomycota; Neocallimastigomycetes; Neocallimastigales
Description: partial large subunit ribosomal RNA
Rfam family: Eukaryotic large subunit ribosomal RNA
Source: RNAcentral